This 737-nucleotide ribosomal RNA is filed under the name Flavobacteriaceae bacterium Pbc-abPcs1a. Its description in RNAcentral is "bacterial SSU rRNA". It matches the Rfam family "Bacterial small subunit ribosomal RNA", at positions 17 to 746 of the family's 1533-position model. The record is from RNAcentral. Lineage: Bacteria; Pseudomonadati; Bacteroidota; Flavobacteriia; Flavobacteriales; Flavobacteriaceae.
UUAUGGCUCAGGAUGAACGCUAGCGGCAGGCCUAACACAUGCAAGUCGAGGGGUAACAGGGAGUAGCUUGCUACUUUGCUGACGACCGGCGCACGGGUGCGUAACGCGUAUACAAUCUGCCUUGUACUGGGGGAUAGCCUUUAGAAAUGAAGAUUAAUACCCCAUAGUAUAUGACUGUGGCAUCACAGCCAUAUUAAAGGUUACGGUACAAGAUGAGUAUGCGUCCUAUUAGCUAGAUGGUGUGGUAACGGCACACCAUGGCGACGAUAGGUAGGGGCCCUGAGAGGGGGAUCCCCCACACUGGUACUGAGACACGGACCAGACUCCUACGGGAGGCAGCAGUGAGGAAUAUUGGACAAUGGAGGCAACUCUGAUCCAGCCAUGCCGCGUGCAGGAAGACUGCCCUAUGGGUUGUAAACUGCUUUUAUACGGGAAGAAACACCCCCACGUGUGGGGGCUUGACGGUACCGUAAGAAUAAGCACCGGCUAACUCCGUGCCAGCAGCCGCGGUAAUACGGAGGGUGCAAGCGUUAUCCGGAAUCAUUGGGUUUAAAGGGUCCGUAGGCGGACGAUUAAGUCAGAGGUGAAAGUCUGCAGCUCAACUGUAGAAUUGCCUUUGAUACUGGUUGUCUUGAAUUAUUGUGAAGUGGUUAGAAUAAGUAGUGUAGCGGUGAAAUGCAUAGAUAUUACUUAGAAUACCAAUUGCGGAAGGCAGGAUCACUAACAAUAUAUGACGC